GCAAGGAAUAUUGCACAAUGGGGGAAACCCUGAUGCAGCAACGCCGCGUGGGCGAAGAAGGCCUUCGGGUUGUAAAGCCCUUUGGUGAGGGAAGAGCAAGGACGGUACCUCACAAACAAGUCUCGGCUAACUACGUGCCAGCAGCCGCGGUAAAACGUAGGAGGCGAGCGUUAUCCGGAUUUACUGGGCGUAAAGGGCAAGUAGGCGGCCGCCAAAGUUGGGCGUGACAUCUCCUGGCUUAACUGGGAGGGGUCGUCCAAAACUAGGGGGCUUGAGGGCAGGAGAGGGGAGUGGAAUUCCUAGUGUAGCGGUGGAAUGCUUAGAGAUUAGGAAGAACACCAGUGGCGAAGGCGGCUCUCUGGCCUGCACCUGACGCUGAGAGGCGAAAGCUAGGGGAGCGAACGGGCUUAGAAACCCCAGUAGUCC
Molecule: ribosomal RNA, 426 nt
Filed under: uncultured bacterium
Lineage: Bacteria
Description: bacterial SSU rRNA
Rfam family: Bacterial small subunit ribosomal RNA
Source: RNAcentral